Molecule: ribosomal RNA, 253 nt
Filed under: uncultured bacterium
Lineage: Bacteria
Description: partial 16S ribosomal RNA
Rfam family: Bacterial small subunit ribosomal RNA
Source: RNAcentral
UACGGAGGGAGCUAGCGUUAUUCGGAAUUACUGGGCGUAAAGGGCGCGUAGGCGGUGUGUCAAGUCAGGCGUGAAAGCCCCGGGCUCAACCUGGGAACCGCGCUUGAGACUGGCACGCUAGAGUUCGGGAGAGGAUGGUGGAAUUCCCGGUGUAGCAGUGAAAUGCGUAGAGAUCGGGAGGAACACCAGUGGCGAAGGCGGCUACCUGGACCAGCAUUGACACUCAAGCACGAAAGCGUGGGGAGCAAACAGG